GGUUGUAGCCCAGUAGUAAAGCAUUCAUCUAGUAUGUGUGAGAUCCUGGGUUCAAUCCCCAGAACUG
This 67-nucleotide transfer RNA is filed under the name Marmota monax (woodchuck). RNAcentral describes it as "tRNA.Thr". Lineage: Eukaryota; Metazoa; Chordata; Mammalia; Rodentia; Sciuridae. The record is from RNAcentral.